AGGUUCUCUCGAAUGAUUCACACUCGUGGAAUGCGAUGUGGCAAUGUACCGGGAGGGCAAAACUAGACGACGCGCAUAAGUAACGGAAAACGGCGUUGGAGGAGGAGGAGAGGGGAAGAAGAGAUCGACGUGCGGUGUCUGCACACUUCGUUGAUUCCCUUCGAGUUGUUGGUGUUUCCACCUCGCGAGAAGUUGUCCGGAUAUUACGUCACGUUUUGACUUCGCUUCGAAUCGCUUUCCAUUCAUCGAUCACAUUUUCGAUUCCUCUUCGUGCGUUUAUUUUAUAUAUAAAUAUAUAUAUUUAGGUUUUAAGGAUUCUUAAAUUGCGAAAACUCGUUUCCUCCUUCGGUCUCGUUUCUUUGAGAUUCUUGAUCGCAAAAAUUUCUUCUUGGAUUUUUACCAGAUCUUCCGUAACGAAUUAUUUUAUUCUUAUUACGAUUCAUGUUAAUACUUUGGCUCAGAUGAUGAUCUUAAAUUCUUCUCUAUGAUAAAGUAAGUUUAUUUUAAAUCAACAAAUAAUCGAACAUAGUUGAUGUAACUAUCUUUAACAACCGUUAAUUUAAGUAUUAUAAAUUAUAAAACGGUGAUCCGCCAUUCAAAUAUAAAAGUAUAUGUUUAAGCCACUAUAAAAUUUAUGUGAAAUUAUCUUGUUAAAUGGAUAAACAUUAAAUUGCUUUUUUUCACAUCCGUCUUAGGAUAACUUGGAUAUCUAGUUAACUGUUCUUCGUGUAUCUCUAGGUGAAAAAAAGUGUUUAAAGAAGUAGGAAACGUGUACAGAUAGUACAAAUAGCUUUGCGAUAAUAUAAUGUCUAUUGUGUGGACGGAAAAUUUAAGAGAAGUAAAAUAAAAAAAAAAGAAAAACCAGAAAAGUUUACAUUAAAAAAAUGACAUAACCUAUGCUACGACGCCAAUUUUCUAUUCGACGUCAAACUUUUCCAGCGAAUUGCACUCGUUAUUAACCUUUGAAACUUAACGUUCAAUAUUGAAAUCCUAACCUAACUUUUAUCUAUUUUUUAAAUUAAUUUAACGAUUGAGAACCACUGCUCUAAUGGAAUCCUUUUUAAAAUAAUAAUCAACCGUUAAAUAGUAAUAGGAUUUAUCAAGUGUGUCGUCUGGUCGCAUGAAAGAGCUAAUAUGUACAAGGAUCUUUUAACGUUACGUCUGCAAAUAGGAAACUGGACAGUAUACGGAGAAAGGCAUCUAAACUCGGACAAGCUUACUCACUCGUCCAUGAAUGCACCGCCGUUUUCAAAUUCUUUGCCGACACAUGGAGAGAAAGAGGAAGAGAAAAAAAAAAAAAGGAAAAAAAGGAGAAAAAGAAAAAGAAAAUUGCAGACAACAUUACGGCCGCUAAAUUGACUGGAAACGCGGCAGGCCAGAAAAUACGAGGCAGGUGAAUUGCAGUUUUGUCGAUCUAAUUUGAAACUUUUCAUCGGGCUGUCGUUCAAUAUAUUCAUAAAUUAGCACAAGAAAGUAUUAAAUCAUUCGACUCACUUCCUUUUCCUUCAUCUUCGAAUGUUCGGAGAUGAGGUUAGAAUGCCAUUGUUAUCCUCUAUCGUUCGUUAUUUUAUAUUAAAAAAAAAAAUCUUUCUUCUUCAAGAAUAUUACACUUAUGCUGCUUUAAUCCAACUUUAUUCUACUAUUCUUUAUUAAAAAUAUAAUAUUUAAACUUCUUGUGUAAAUUCAAACUAAACACCAACGUAACCUAACCUAACCUAAAAUUGAACGAAAUCAUUUAUACCAAAUCGAGUAAUUUAAACUUAAAUUUACGUAUAUUUGUUUAUUUUCAUCGUAAUAAUUAUUUAUAUAUGAAAAACACAUUAAAAAUUUAUUUAAGAUUAACUUUUAGAAAAUUAAAGAAUAAUAUCUUUAAAUACUGGUGUACGUAAUAUACAUUUAUAAUGAAAAAAAAAAAUUUUUUCUUCAAAAA
Long non-coding RNA from Apis cerana (Asiatic honeybee), 1930 nucleotides. RefSeq lists it as uncharacterized. The record is from RefSeq and is a predicted model, not a curated record. Lineage: Eukaryota; Metazoa; Arthropoda; Insecta; Hymenoptera; Apidae.